Molecule: long non-coding RNA, 1041 nt
Organism: Eptesicus fuscus (big brown bat)
Lineage: Eukaryota; Metazoa; Chordata; Mammalia; Chiroptera; Vespertilionidae
Exons: 4
Source: RefSeq, a predicted model, not a curated record
AAAGAAAAACACCCGGCACGGGAAACCGGCAAAUUAGGCCAAGCAGAGGAGGCUGCGCUCUGACUGUGGCUGCUCCUCCAGCCCGGCGUCCACAGCCGCGGAAGGGCAGAUGGAGGAGUGGGGAGCGUCCUCGGGGAGCUACAAUGACCACCCUACCGCCGCCUGUACGCUCCAUUCCUCAGCCUAUAGCUCGUGGGCAGGCCGGGGCGGGACGCCAGGACACGGGAGAGGAGGACCGGGAUUGCGGAAGGUGAACUCCGCGGCGAACUGCGCCCAUCUGCACCGCCCCGGCCGCCUGGGGGUCCGCGCGGAGGCUGGACAGAAGGGAUGAGAAUUUUGCAGGAGGAGCCGGUGAGCAGCUUGAUGGUGCGGUUCUGGCCGAAGCGCUGCCCGUCCACCUUGAAGAAGACCGGGCCGUCAUUGGGCUGGAUGCGCAGCGCGAUGGAGAGGCGCACCAGGCCGGGCAGGUCCCCCAUGGCUGGGCACAGCAGUCCUACAGUCUCAAACCAACUUCUACCUGUGUAUUGAUGAAAGUUUUGGACGUGUAGUGAGAUGACUUCAGUUUGAAUUCUGGCUCAGUGUAUUUCAGCUCCAGGCCCAGAAAAGCAGCAAAACCAGAUAAGUGACACUGUGGCAGCCUCUGGACCAGCUUUUACCUCCUAAGUCCCUCAACAGGACUGCUUUUGAGCCUUUACCAGCUAGUCUCUUGGGGACAUCAUGGUGCUGUGACCCCUCGCUCCAACCAUGAGGAAUCUAUACAGUGUUCCAGCUGACUACAAAGUCCAUCCCCCUAUGAUCUCCAUGUCCUCUCCCCCGGAAGUAACUACGGAAGAUAUGUAUGACCUCUGUUCCUAUUCCAUAAAACACAAAGGCUGGAAUGUUAAUUAUGAUCAAAUAAUUGAAUUGAUACCCCCCUCCCCAGGGAACUGACCUUUAGACCACUUCUCAACUGACAUUCCCUUUCGCUUGUUUCCAUUUGCUAAGACCACAUUCCUCUUUUUUUUUUUACUUUUUAAAUAUAUUUUUGUUGAUUUCAGAGAG